Molecule: ribosomal RNA, 353 nt
Filed under: uncultured Desulfobulbus sp.
Lineage: Bacteria; Pseudomonadati; Thermodesulfobacteriota; Desulfobulbia; Desulfobulbales; Desulfobulbaceae
Description: bacterial SSU rRNA
Rfam family: Bacterial small subunit ribosomal RNA
Source: RNAcentral
CUGGAGACAGGUGCUGCAUGGCUGUCGUCAGCUCGUGUCGUGAGAUGUGGGUUAAGUCCCGCAACGAGCGCAACCCUUGCCUUUAGUUGCCAGCAGUUCGGCUGGGCACUCUAAAGGGACUGCCGGUGUUAAACCGGAGGAAGGUGGGGAUGACGUCAAGUCCUCAUGGCCUUUAUGACCAGGGCUACACACGUACUACAAUGGCCGAUACAAAGGGCAGCGACACUGCGAGGUGAAGCCAAUCCCGUAAAAUCGGUCUCAGUCCGGAUUGGAGUCUGCAACUCGACUCCAUGAAGUUGGAAUCGCUAGUAAUCGUGGAUCAGCAUGCCACGGUGAAUACGUUCCCGGGCCUU